CCUGCUUCCUCCUUCACUCACCUGUGUCACUCCUCCCUGUAUGCAAGCAUUUGUUUUAGGCUCUGCUAUGGGAGAACCCAGGAAAAGAGAGUUAAGAUGUUCUGAAUUCAGAUAUUUUGUAGGAUGGGGCAGAAGAAAUGAGGAUGAUUUCAUUUGCCAACUUCCCCUCUUCCAUCUCUGGACUACUACCAAGGAACACAUCACGUUAAGGAGAAUGCUAUGAGAGCAAAGCAAUGAGAGAGAAUACAGGAAAAACGUGGAAGCUUCAGUGCCUUAUUUUACCCAAGCAACAAACUCAAGGCAAGGCUUUGUGGAGUACCCUUCUAUCUGCCCGAGAAUAGACUAUUUGAGAUAUGCGGUAGGCAUUUCGGAAAAUCCAGUCGAGUAUGAGGUUCAACCCUCUGCAUUUUUUUUUUUUUUUUAAUGAAAAGAGCUUGAGAAGAACUCAAUUCAGCUGCUGCUUCAUCUAGGGCACAGGUGUAUGUGUUCAUGAUUUCAAGGAUGAGGUGAAAAGUCUCCUCAGUCAACCAGUGUUACAGCUUCAAAUAAAAGGAACACAUAUUGAAGCUGUAAAGAUGUCCUCAGACUGAGCUUCACAUUCAGAACUGCUGUCAAACUCUCACUUUAAUGGGCACUUAAAUUUAAUGUCAAGCUGAUGCCUAUGGAAGACCUUGAUUAAAUUUGCAAAGAGUAGACUCUAACUGAAACAGAACUUUAGAGUUGUCUCAUUUCGCCUUUCAAGCUUAAAUCCCAGAAGUUUUCUUCUCUUCUUUGUAAAGAAUUACAGAAGUUUGCUUGCAAAGACCCUGAGUAUCAAUAAGACAGCAAAGUGUAACAAGCAAAACACCCGGCAUGUUUUUAGAGAGAGAAGAAAUCCCUUAGCUUAUUAAAAUUCUAUGUGAAUUAAAGAUCUUUCCCAUUGCUUUAUUCCAUUCCCAGCUCAUUUGAAAUCUAUAGCUAUUCACUUUUAUGACUCUAUAAUAUUAUAAGCAGUCCUAAAAAGUUUACUUAAAACCUUCCUAGUGUUCUUUUAUGCACAUGGCAAUUAAGUUUUUUACUGUAUGGACAGAGUGAAAAACAUUAUGGAAAAACAACUUGAAAGAAAUAUGACAGAAUUUCUCCUAACAAUGUCAUUGCUUCAACCAGCUACAAAUUUCCAACCUAGUUUCUUUCUUUUGCUGUUUCUUCUUUUGUCUUUGAUACAAUCAUACAGCCUCUCUUCCUUGAAGAGAUAAUAAAAGACUAACAGUUAAAAGAUCUGGAAGACUCAUAAUCUUUUUCACUGGCUACGGUUUUGAAAAGAGGCUGUUGGCUUUUGAUUUUUUCUUUUGGGUUCUUUACAUCACCCAGAUCAAACAGGUCUGCUCUCAAAGAAAACAAAUCAAAAUUGUCAAGACCUGUGAAGCGUGAAAAAUAAAUUGCUUUUUCC
RNAcentral lists this long non-coding RNA (1429 nucleotides) under Homo sapiens (human). Its description in RNAcentral is "HSALNT0107625". Lineage: Eukaryota; Metazoa; Chordata; Mammalia; Primates; Hominidae. The record is from RNAcentral.